Long non-coding RNA from Trichomycterus rosablanca, 282 nucleotides. RefSeq lists it as uncharacterized. The transcript has 2 exons. The record is from RefSeq and is a predicted model, not a curated record. NCBI's taxonomy places the organism in Eukaryota, Metazoa, Chordata, Actinopteri, Siluriformes, Trichomycteridae.
AGGUGUGGAUCACUCGGGUCAGCCUGUCCCUCUAUCUGGUCUGUCUGGUCCUCUGCAUCCUCACCUUUGUCUUCUGCUGCUUCAUCAAAUAAACUCGUACCACCAUCCAUCACCACCUGUGCAUGUGCCUCUUCAUCACCAACUUCCUCUCCAGCAUGAGCAACAAGCUGCAUCGCAGAAAGGGGGCAGAGGAGACUCCGAGAGAGAGGGGAAGGACAAGACGAUGCAAAGGUUCUCCAAAUGGCAGUCAAAUAAAGGCCUAUUCUGAGCCCUCCCUUCAUU